Brachypodium distachyon (stiff brome) is the source of this 3422-nucleotide RNA transcript. RefSeq lists it as uncharacterized. The record is from RefSeq and is a predicted model, not a curated record. Lineage: Eukaryota; Viridiplantae; Streptophyta; Magnoliopsida; Poales; Poaceae. The transcript is spliced from 4 exons.
GCCCGCUGCUGUGCUGCCGACCAGAACUACCGCCUCCACUAACUCUGCUCCACCGGCGCAUCCCCCUCCCACUGCAGUGCAUUGCAGGUCCCCGGAAGCGCCCCAACUCCGUCCAGUGUGCCACCGCCGGUCGCCGCAUUGGUCGCUGUCGCCUCCGCCCCGACCCCGCGCUUCCUCGCGUCGCCCCACCUUAUCCCUUUUCCAUCGUAGGGACUGGAAGCCCCAUCUCUUCGCUCUCCUUGCCAGAGAGAGAUAGAGCAGAAGGCCCGCGCAUCGACGGCCACGGCGCCUCUCUUCGCCCUCACCAACCAUGGAGCUUCUCUUCCCCUCACAUCACAUGGCGUCUCUCCUCCUCCUCACAUGGCACCUCUCCUCCCCCUCCGAUCGCUGAUGCAUGCCCCUUCCUCUGGCCGCCGCCCCCUCCUCUCCAUCCCUGAAGCAGCCAUCACUGGAGAUCCCCUCCAGAUCAGGUGCUCUCUCCUCCUCCUCACGUCCCUUGAUUUCUCGAAUCAUGCUCUGAUUUAGCUGCUCUGCAUUUGAGAUGCUUCAUGUCAUGUGGUGCUCUUGGUGGAAUGCUUGGAGUUUUGCAGACUUGGCCGAGAUUGCGAAUUUCCUGGGUAUAAUGCCUUCAGGCGAUUCAGGGUAGAGGUUGCUAUGGAGCGGGUGGAGCUCCUCCAUCUAAUUGCUGACUUGGUGGAAGCUAUAUUCUAUGCCGACAAUCCAGAAUGGAGAUUUAAUAUUAUCAAGCACCAUAAAGAACAAGGGAUGUUUGGUGCAAAAAAUACUUCAUUGUACAGAAAAUGUGUUGAUGAGCAGUUGGCAAAGGACUUACAACUUGUAGAUUCAACUGCAGAAACAGCCCCAAAUUUUCCUUUUCUUCUUUUUCUGUAACUGGGUUCAAUUCUUAUUUUGAAGGCUUGAUGUAGCAGGACUGCAGUUGAAGCUCUCUGAGUAUACCAAAAGGAUGUCAAAUUACAAUGGAGUGUUGGCAUUUCCAUGUUUUUAAUACUCCCUCCGUCCCAUAAUUCUUGUCGAAAUAUUACAUGUAUCUAGACACUUUUUAAGAAGAUAUACAUCCAUUUUUGGGCAAAUUUGAGACAAGAAUUAUGAAACGGAGAGAGUAUUAACAUCAUCCAAACUAUCAUGCAGCUUAGAUUUAUUAAUACAUUUUGCAUCAAUUUAUACACUUCUAUCUAAAAGUUUCUAGCAUAUCAUGUUAGUUCGUUAGUCUGCAUGAUACAUAUGAUGUUUGCACUAAUAGAUGUGAAUUAACAUGUUUCACCAAACUAUGUUGCCUUUUCUAUAAACGUGAAUUUUCGUGUGCAGGCCGUGGCAACGCACGGGCAUUGUACUAGUUUAUAUAACAAGAGUUAGGGUACAUCGACCACAAUUCACACCAAGUGAUUCAUAAGCAAAACUGUUUGGAGGAAACGGGAGAGCUUUGAGGCUAUGGUGGCCUAACUUCCCCGGGCUGUGGCCUGGGCCCGUACGCCAUGGCAGCCUCCCUUGAUCUCUCCGUCAUGGAAAGAAUGCCGCCGUUCCCUCUUCGGCGGCCCCCCACGGGUAAGGAACCGGUGGCAAGUCCACCGCCGGUGUCAACACUGCCUGAUCUCUCUGGGCUUGACAUGCGCCCGGGUGAAAAGCUCCAACGGGAGCUAUGGAAGCGUUGGAGAUCUCCCAUCACAGUUCCCGCAUCCUCCAGGCCCGACUUCUUCAUGGUGGCAUCUUUCGGCCGCUGUCGCUAUCGUCUGGAGGAAACCACGGACCAAUUUCUGUGAUUUCAACACGAACGUAUAUGCUCAGUUGGUCAUUGGAAGAGCAACACUAGUACUCCCUCACGAUCCAUAAUAAGUGUCUCAGACUUAGUACAAUUUUGUACUAACUUUGUACUAAAUCUGAGACACUUUGGAUCAGAGGGAGUAUUAGUUUGUCUGACAUGGACAAUAUCAGUGACUAAAUUCGAGAUCUUCCUCCACCGCAUUCUGUGAAUUCAAUGGCAGCCACGGACACGACAGCUAGGCCGCCGUCCCUGGGUGACUUCCUCCACUGCGUCGCCGAGGCAAUCAUGCCCGGGCUGCUUCAGCUUGCUGCCCCCAACCCGCCUCCACCUAGGCGGCCGAUGAAAAGCUUUGUUACCCUCCGCCACAGUCGUUGCCUGGCGGCGAAGAGUACAGUGGUCCCUGCCAACAUGAUGGACAAGGCCAAGCGUUUGAUCUGCAGGAAGCUUGGUUUGGUGUUUGAUGACGCCGCUUCUGAUGAUGCUGACUUGCUUGCCAGAUAUGACCGAGUCCUUCAGCAAGCCCCUAUCUGAAGCUCAUAUUGCUGCUUUGACUGCCUUGGCGCAGAGAGGCGCAGACAAGAAGAAGGGGACGGGCGUCAGGGCUGUUGCUGCUGUCUGAUGUGUCCGCUCGUCCAUCUAGUUAUCAUUAGUUGCAACUGUGUCAUGGAUCAUUGUGUAAUGCUAGUUUGGAAUGUCAGGGGGCUUAACUCCCUUGCACAUCGUUGCGCUGCAAAUAAGGUUGUCUGAUCAGCAUGCUAUAAUCGGUUGCUUUCAAGAAUCGAAGCUUGCUCAUGUUACUCUUAAUGGUAUCAAGCAGAUUUGCGGUUCACAGUUCGACAAUUUCAGUUUUGUUGCUUCAGUUGGUACUCGAGGAGGCAUUAUCACCGUCUGGUGCAACACCGAUUUUCAGAUUCUUAAUUGCAGCAGUACUCGGUCCUUGCUUGCUAUCACAUUCAUGGACAGAACUUCUGGCUAGAUAUUCUGGUUGAUCAACGUCUAUGGUCCGCAAGCCAUACCUGACAAAUUCAGUUUUAUCACGGAUCUGCGUGCUGUUCUGAUUCAGAUCAACGAACCUCUAGUUCUUGCAGGGGAUUUCAACCUUAUUGCUUCUGCCUCUGACAAAAAUAAUAGGAAUAUUCAGAGGGAUGAUGAAUGCUUUUUGAGAAAUUCAUCAAUGACUUGAUGUUGUCUGAGAUGUAUCUGCAUGGCCGUUGCUACACUUGGACAAAUGAUUAGCUAUCCAAUGUGUAAAGUUGGACCGUGUCCUUUUCAAUGCUGCCUGGAGCUCCUUCCUGCCAAAUUGUUUGCUCAAUGCUGCCUCAUCAAAUAUUUCUGACCACUGCCCUUUGGUUCUUGUCACCAAUGCCGGUUUUCAGCCCUGUCAUCGGUUCAGGUUAAAAAAUAUCUGGACAACUUUACCUGGAUUCCUUCUUACGGUGUCUGAUGCUUGGGCCAAGCCCGAUUUGUCUGCAGCCUCGGCCUUCCAGAUCCUUCAUCAAAAACUUCGUAACACUGCUGCAGCUCUGCGCCGCUGGUAUCAACGCUUUAGGCAAAACAUCAGGAUGCGUGAAUUAUUUCAGAGCUAACUUUUAUGCUAAAUAAAGCGGGUGAUCUCAGGCCUCUGUCUGCUGCCGAGCACCUC